This 446-nucleotide ribosomal RNA is filed under the name uncultured bacterium. Its description in RNAcentral is "bacterial SSU rRNA". It matches the Rfam family "Bacterial small subunit ribosomal RNA", at positions 330 to 793 of the family's 1533-position model. The record is from RNAcentral.
UCCAGACUCCUACGGGAGGCAGCAGUGGGGGAUAUUGCACAAUGGGGGCAACCCUGAUGCAGCGACGCCGCGUGAGCGAUGGAGUACUUCGGUAUGUAAAGCUCUGUCAGCAGGGAAGAGAAUGACGGUACCUGACCAAGAAGCCCCGGCUAAAUACGUGCCAGCAGCCGCGGUAAUACGUAUGGGGCAAGCGUUAUCCGGAUUUACUGGGUGUAAAGGGAGCGUAGACGGCGAUGCAAGUCUGAAGUGAAAGGCGGGGGCCCAACCCCCGGACUGCUUUGGAAACUGUAUGGCUGGAGUGCAGGAGAGGUAAGUGGAAUUCCUAGUGUAGCGGUGAAAUGCGUAGAUAUUAGGAGGAACACCAGUGGCGAAGGCGGCUUACUGGACUGUAACUGACGUUGAGGCUCGAAAGCGUGGGGAGCAAACAGGAUUAGAUACCCUCGUAC